This 248-nucleotide ribosomal RNA is filed under the name uncultured bacterium. Its description in RNAcentral is "partial 16S ribosomal RNA". It matches the Rfam family "Bacterial small subunit ribosomal RNA", at positions 337 to 581 of the family's 1533-position model. The record is from RNAcentral.
GCCUACGGGAGGCAGCAGUGAGGAAUAUUGGUCAAUGGGCGGGAGCCUGAACCAGCCAAGUCGCGUGAGGGAAGACGGUCCUAUGGAUUGUAAACCUCUUUAGGCGGGGAGCAAUGCCGGGCACGUGUGCCCGGAGGGAGAGUACCCGCAGAAUAAGCAUCGGCUAACUCCGUGCCAGCAGCCGCGGUAAUACGGAGGGUGCGGGCGUUAAUCGGAAUUACUGGGCGUAAAGCGCUCGGAGGCGGGAU